AAUGGAGGCUAUUAUUAACAUUAUUAUUAUAGCAUGGACUCGAUUUGAUGAGAGAAAAGAAAGGAGAGAUGAAAGAGGGAAGGGAUGAAAGGAGGGAGAGAUGAGGAGAAAGGGAACAGAAAGACUAUCUGGACAUGGUACAAUAGUCCAGGUGCAAGUCCAGAGGCCCAGAUUAGGUGGGUGGCAGCAGAAAGAGAAGGACUCAGAGAGGCAGCCGUGAGGCAGCCCACCAGACCUCAGCAGCUGGCCGAACAGGGAGGAGACUUUCGUGAGAUUUAGGGGUGGAGUGCCUCAGGUAAGGUAGCCUUCUCCAUCCCUUCAUUUGUUGCACAUUGGCUGGGCACUUGGCAUGCACCAGGAGCUGUGCUGGGUUUGGGAUAUAAGAUCAACCAGAUACAAUCCUGCUUGCAAAUAGCACAUAGGUCUGGGAUACCUGCUCAUGAAGCAGGGGAGGAAGUCAGAGAACAGGGUGGGUUUGAACAGGCAGAAGAGUCCAGCUCUGGGCACGAUGAGACGUGGGGGUGGACUGGGAGCUUUGAACUUCCCCAGAGUUCUGAUUUUGACAGGUAAGGCCCAUGGAUGAAGAAAGAAGUUAGAGGGGAAAUGAAGAAGUGGAAGUGAAAGCCAGGAGAUUUGAAUGACAUGAAAAUCUCAGAUCUGAGAAGUAACACAGUAGAUAUUCAGAAACCAAAGAAAAGACCAAGCACAGAGGACACAGGCAUGGAGGGAACAUUUCUAACUUGAAGCUGUGGAGAUGAACUUAGAUACAAGACAGAAAGUGUUACUGUUUUCCUUGGGACUUUAAAGAGAGCCUACAUUAGUUCUAAGUAUGGAAAAACAAAGUGCAGCAAGAAAAUCCAUUAUCCCCAUUUGGGGGCAGGAGGCUAUCAGGAAGGGGAAUGAGAGGAGACAGGCUGUCAUCCUACACCCAGUGAAGAUCCAUGGCCAGCCAGUUCUUGCCCAUUUCACCCCCAGGACAGGAGCUCCCUUAGGGAACAGAUGGUGCCUUCGGGUGGAGAAACAGGCUUCUCUGUCUCCUGGUGAUGGGUGCAGCCACCCACCACAGGAACAGCUUGGUGAGAUGAGCACCAGUGGGUUUCAGCCCUGCUUCCAAUUCCUGCCAAGACCCUUGCACAGUGCACACUUACAAAACUUUCCAUGUUCUGAAAGAGGUCAUUUCAAGAUAUAAAGCACCACUCAAAGGCAACAGGUCCUUUUUAAAGUAGUGUCCAAGGUUCUGAUCUCAGCUUUCUCUCUCAGAAAGGUAUAUUUGACUACAAAGGUGAACUGAAGGUCCCAUGGCCUCAGGAAUAAAUAGUUUUAUGCUUUCAUUGCCUGUUUGCAGGCUUUAAGGUGCUGGAGCUACAAAGAGGUUCUUGAGGCAAGGACUAUGUCUUCUUCAUUUUAAUGUCCUGAGGACACUGACAGUAUCUAGCUCAGAAAAGUUCAUUGGAAGGAAUGAAGAGAGGUAAGAGGUGUAUGUGUGAGGAGAGUAUGCAUGUGUGUAUGUGUGUAUUAUAUACAGAGAAAUAAAUAAUGUUCAAUAAUAUUCAAAUUAAAGAUUUCUAGACUGGGUUCUCUUUAACAAAGAAACUCAUAUUUCUUAAUUAACUACAAUGAACUAAUCAGAAAAAUUUAUUGGGCAUUUCUUAUAUGUAGGGCAUGGUGCUAGGUAACGCGUAGGGUUUUAAAAACAGAGGAAACCCACUAAAUUCAUGAACUUGAGACUUGCAGGGUUUCAGAUAGUUACUAUGUACUCUGGUACACAAAAAUGAAUUACACCACCCCCUGCUGCCAGUGGCUCCCUCCGUCUCAGCCUUAUUUUUUGAUGGGUCUGAAGCCUGUCACAUUCUCCUUGUAUUAAAAAGGGGGAUUAAUAAUCAAUCAUCAAUCACAAAGCGUUAAGGAGAGAUUAGCAUCUGGUUGAAGGUUUCUUGCUGGUAAAAUCAAAAUGAGAAAGGAGAACCACUGGUGAAGAAUACAGAAUGGAAGCUCUACCAUCAGAAAGUAGGUUCCCAAGGUCAGGGACUUUUAAAACUUAUUUUUCACCAAUCUAACCACACCUCCUAGAAGAGCAGCUGGCCAAUUGAAGUUUCCCAAUAAAUAUGUUAAGUGAACAAAAUUAAUGUUUUAGAAUGAAAUGUGAGCCACUAUCAGGCAUUUGUACUUGCAAAAAAUAUUGGCCAAUUUACCUAUUUGUAUUCAUUUGUGCUCACUCAAGCAGAGGGGCCAGUAGAAGAUACACUCCCCAAUGCAAUAAUGAUCCGUAUCAACAGGGCUGCAUUGUUUAUUUACCAUGUGCCAGCCACAAUGCAAGCACUUUUUAAGCCUAGUUCCAUCGAAGGCUCCUGCUAACUGCAUGGUCAGCAACACAUUGUCAUUGCCACGUUUCAGCUGAUGGCAUGAAGCUCAGAGAGGUGAGAUGAUUUGCCCCAGAUACACAGCUAGAAAUCUGAUCUCAAAGCCCAAUAUGCAUACCUACACCACACAACCCACAGAGAGAAGCACCUAUCCAGUGGUAAAGAGAGGCAUCGAAAUUAAGAAUUGAUGUGCAGUAAUUCUCAUGUACACCUUUCCUCAGGCCAGGGAACAAAGCCACUAUUCCUAACCCAUCACGUGGACAUCUGCCUCCAGCCCCACCCAUUUUGCCUCAAUAAUAUGUGUAAACAACUCUGUGUUGCCUUUUCCACCCUACAUAUGCUCUGCAAGGCUCAGCAGGCCCUGAAAAAUCAGUGGCGAAGAAGUGGUCUUGAACCCUCAAGCCCAUCAUAAGGGCUCUGCUGACACCACAACAGGGAAAUGGACAUUUGAGGUCCUGCUGUGUCUUACCAGCUCUCUGCCCUGGUUCAUGUGACGACACCUAAGGAUUCUGACCAAAGUCCCCAAUGUGGCAGAGGUGUGAGAGGGAGGGGUACGGAGCUCAGCCCACACAGCUCGCCUUGGGUGGCCAGCCGGGCUGAGGGAGGGGCUGCGCAGCGUGUGAAACCGGAGGCCUGCACACCCUGCCGACACCCUGCACACACCCGCACACCCACACACAUGCAGACCCUCGGCCUAUCCAGCUCCAGACUGUGGGAAGAUGGCUCUCCUGGAAGCAAACGAGGAAGCCAAGAGCCAUAACAAGAAGCUUGCAGAAUUGUGAGCACUUCCUACUGAACACCGCCCGGGGCUGCCUCUUCCUCAGCACAAGCCAAUGGUCUUGGGAGGACAAACUCAGCAAUGAAGUUCUGGGUGCAGAAGUUGAAGAAGCACAGAUGUACAAACAGGAAGUGGAAGAAGGGGACCCACAGAUGGGGGGCCUGGUAACUGACGCCGUGACAGGGAGGAUUCGCUCCCAACUCUGAGUCCUUCUGGCACAUCUUAUAGCACAAGAGACUUUUCAAGGUGAAACAUGACUUGUCACAUUUGGGUUGGGUUUGUUUUCAGGGAGUAAUUUCUCUAAACUCAAUAUGUGCCCUUAAAGGCGAUUCAUCAAAAAUAAAAUAACCAAUGUAUCUUAUAAUAGACUGGCAUGGAGCACUUUAAAAAAGAAAUAGUAAAUGUUUUAAUAUGGAAUAAAAAAAACUGGAAGAAGAGAUUUACUUCAUGUGCUCAAGAAUGAAUCAUAUUUUUUUCUCCUUCAACUCUUCACCUCCACCCUUCCCCUCUCUCCCUCUUUCCUGGCAUUCCCUUUUGUAUCAGCUGUGAAGUGGCUGACUUCAAAUCGGGUACAAGUGGGAGGGAGGUGUAUCCAGAUAUAAGAAAAACCCAUGAAAACAUACAUUCCAAAAUACAAAUAGAUAAACAUAGCUCAUUAAUUGACCUGAAAAUUAAAUUCCACUGAUACAUAGCAUGAAUUUUGUUAUAUCAGGGGUGCAUUGUUAUACCAGGAUAUAUUUGGGGGCAUGUGUUUGCAGAAUGCCAUUUCUACUGACACAAUUUUGAGAAAGAGGAUCCAGAAAAACAUCCUGGAGUGGUCAGCCAUAAAACAGCACAGACCAUUCCAAUCUUCCAGCACUUUCCCCCGC
This is a long non-coding RNA of Manis pentadactyla (Chinese pangolin), 4007 nucleotides long. RefSeq lists it as uncharacterized. The transcript has 3 exons. NCBI's taxonomy places the organism in Eukaryota, Metazoa, Chordata, Mammalia, Pholidota, Manidae. The record is from RefSeq and is a predicted model, not a curated record.